CACUCGUGCGCAGGCGCGCGGGCGCAGGCGCCGUCCGCUUGCGCACCGUACCGCGCACGAGCGGUAACGGUCGGAUGGUGCCGUUGGUAACUUUUGCGGUUCCCAUCGUGGGUGACAAAACCUUGUUGUUGUGGGAGCUGAGCUGUGGACCCACGGCCGAGGCCUUGGUCGUCUCGGCACCAGACAUAAGGCGGUUCGACAUAAUACGCUUGCCCUGAACAGCUCCAGAUGCCAAGAAUUGGCAAAUUACUACUUUGGUUUCCAUGGGUGGUCAAAAAGGAUCAUCAGGGUGGUGUUGCCCUCCCACGAGUGCAGGAGUCCUGGAGUUGGCAUGGCUGAGGAACCUUUGGGGUCAUUAUCAUUCCUUAUGAAAAGGAAGGUAACCCAGAAGCUUGCUAUUCAGAAGGCUAUGACAGAUGCAUUCCGGAAACUGCUGAUUGUGGUUUUAGACUCUGAAAAUAGACUGCUCGGAGACCCACGUGCAGCUGGCCUGUGCCAACCUCAUCUCUAGAACAGGCCUCCUGAUGAAGCUUCUCAGCAAGCAGCAAGAAGUAAAGGUGUCCAAAGCGGAAUGGGAUACGGACCAGUGGAAAAGUGACAACUCUGUCAGUGAGAGCACAGAAGCCCAGAGUGAGCAGAAAGAGCAGGAGUCAAGCGAGCUCCCUCUGGAGGAAGCCAGCCAUCAUGUAGUGAGGACAUUCAAUCAAGUAGCAGGUGGACAGGCCCAUGCAGGGAGGAAAGGAGGCCUCCCUCUAACAACCAGCACAACCCUGGCAGCCAGGUAAGGGAGUGAACCAUCUUGGAAGUGGACCCUGCAGCCUCAGUCCAGCCAUCAGAUGACUGCAGCCCUGGCCGAUAUCUUGAGGAACUCGUGAGAGACCCAGAGCCAGAACUGCCCAAGCUAUUCCCCUAAAGGCUUGACUCAGAAAUUGUGAGGAAUAAAUGUUUAUUGUUGUUUUGAGCCAC
Balaenoptera acutorostrata (minke whale) is the source of this 966-nucleotide RNA transcript. It is a transcript of the gene named leucine-rich repeat-containing protein 37A3-like, with no coding region annotated. The record is from RefSeq and is a predicted model, not a curated record. The transcript has 6 exons. NCBI's taxonomy places the organism in Eukaryota, Metazoa, Chordata, Mammalia, Artiodactyla, Balaenopteridae.